AGCAGCCGCGGUAAUUCCAGCUCCAAUAGCGUAUAUUAAAGUUGUUGCAGUUAAAAAGCUCGUAGUUGAACUUCAGGCCUGUCCAGAUGGUCCGCCUUAAUUGGUGUGUACUGUCCUUGGGUGGGUCCUACCUUCUGGCGAAGCGGCAUGGCCUUAAUUGGUUGUGUUGGGGAACCAGGACUUUUACUGUGAAAAAAUUAGAGUGUUCAAAGCAGGCAUAUAUGCUCGAAUACAUUAGCAUGGAAUAAUGGAAUAGGACGAUGGUUCUAUUUUGUUGGUUCUAGGACCGUUGUAAUGAUUAAUAGGGAUAGUUGGGGGCAUUAGUAUUCAAUUGUCAGAGGUGAAAUUCUUGGAUUUAUUGAAGACUAACUACUGCGAAAGCAUUUGCCAAGGAUGUUUUCAUUAAUCAAGAACGAAAGUUAGGGGAUCGAAGACGAUCAGAUACCGUCGUAGUCUUAACCAUAAACUAUGCCGACUAGGAAUCGGGCGAUGUUGACAAAAUGACUCGCUCGGUACCUCAUG
RNAcentral lists this ribosomal RNA (522 nucleotides) under uncultured Paraglomeraceae. RNAcentral's name for it is "partial small subunit ribosomal RNA". It matches the Rfam family "Eukaryotic small subunit ribosomal RNA", at positions 569 to 1092 of the family's 1831-position model. Lineage: Eukaryota; Fungi; Glomeromycota; Glomeromycetes; Paraglomerales. The record is from RNAcentral.